UGGAUCCGUGAUGAGGACUGGUGGCGUGUGUGAGUCAUGGUGGAUGAUGACUACUGCUCUGGAAGUCUGAGGUCCAA
Molecule: small nucleolar RNA, 77 nt
Organism: Ochotona curzoniae (black-lipped pika)
Lineage: Eukaryota; Metazoa; Chordata; Mammalia; Lagomorpha; Ochotonidae
Product: small nucleolar RNA SNORD113/SNORD114 family
Exons: 1
Source: RefSeq, a predicted model, not a curated record